Molecule: small RNA, 147 nt
Filed under: Pongo abelii (Sumatran orangutan)
Lineage: Eukaryota; Metazoa; Chordata; Mammalia; Primates; Hominidae
Description: Metazoan signal recognition particle RNA (ENSPPYG00000033904.1)
Source: Rfam by way of RNAcentral
GCUGGGCAUGGUGGUGUGUGCCUGUAAUCCCAGCUACUCAGGAGGCUGAGACAGAGAAUCACUUGAACCUAGGAGGUGGAGGCUGCAGUGAGCCGAGAUGGCACCACUGCCCUUCAGCCUAGGUGACAGAGCGAGACUCUGUCUCAA